AUGGCUGCUGUGAAAGUACCACGAACCGGGUUGCUUGAAGCAGCAGAACUAUAUUCUCUCACAGUUCUGGACAAACGUGGGAAAUCCAGCUACAGGCAGGGCCUUGCUCCUUCUGAGCCGUUGGGUAGAAACCUUCCUGGCCCAGCCUGGGGUUCCUGCAAUUGGCGUUCUUUGGCUUGCAGCUACAGGAGAAGAGGGCACAGAACAGAGAGGGACACAGCAGCUUGGGAAGGUCUCUCAGAGUGACUUUACAACCAGGUUUCAGGGGACUCCCAUUUGGACUCUGCUUUCUGGAGCCUGUGUUUGUAACAAGCCCCAAGUGACUCUGAUGCAGGGAGACAGUCUCACUUGCAACCCACCCCAUGGCUUCAGAAUAUGGGGGAGGUCUCCCCAAUGCUCCGCAGCCCACACCCAUGCCCUGCCCAGAGUGCACCCCAAGUAUGCAUGUAGAUGAACAACUGGGGGAAGUGUGAGAAUAAUGGAUCCCCACUGGAGGAGCCCAGUCCCAGGGAAAAUGAUUGGGAAUCUGCUGUGAGUACAGUGACAGGUGACAAGGGCCCUCAACAGUGUCAUGAGGGACACUUUUAUUGUUGUGAAGUCCACACACUAACCCCAAGCCUUGUGAAAUAGAGAUGGUUCAUUCGGUUAUCAAAUAUUUGGGUGCCAAAUAUAUGCAAGUCACUAUAUUCAGUGUUUUGGGAUUUGAGAAUUUUGCCAUAGUUCUUUUUUAAGCAAAUUAAAUAAAUUUAGGAAAUUAAUUUAGAAUUGUGCGUUUAAAAUUUUUAUUGUGCCAAUAAAAAUUUGUUUAAAAAAAUUUAAAGACUUUUCUUUAAAAAAAGUGCCGUCACGAAAGAUACUACUUUAUUGUUAUUUUAUUUUUCAUUUGUAUUCAUUUGUUUUUAAAUAGGUUAGUAGUCAAAAGUCUAUUAAAGAGGCUGGGUGUGGUGGCUCAUGCCUGUUAUCACAGCACUUUGGGAGGCCAAGGUGGGUGGAUCACUUGGGGUUAGGGGCUCAAGCCCAGCCUGGCCAACAAGGCGAAACUUCCUCUCUAUUAAGAACACAAAAUUAGUGGGACAUGGUGGCGGGCGCCUGUAGUCCCAGCUACUCAGGAGGCUGAGGCAGGAGAAUGGCUUGAAUCCGGGACGUGGAGGUUGCAGUGAGAUGAAAUUGAGCCACUGCACUCCAGCCUGU
This 1191-nucleotide long non-coding RNA is filed under the name Callithrix jacchus (white-tufted-ear marmoset). Its description in RNAcentral is "lncRNA (ENSCJAG00000071697.1)". The record is from RNAcentral. Lineage: Eukaryota; Metazoa; Chordata; Mammalia; Primates; Cebidae.